This 342-nucleotide ribosomal RNA is filed under the name Clostridioides difficile. RNAcentral's name for it is "bacterial LSU rRNA". It matches the Rfam family "Bacterial large subunit ribosomal RNA", at positions 2451 to 2792 of the family's 2925-position model. The record is from RNAcentral. Lineage: Bacteria; Bacillati; Bacillota; Clostridia; Peptostreptococcales; Peptostreptococcaceae.
AACGGAUAAAAGCUACCCUGGGGAUAACAGGCUUAUCGCCCCCAAGAGUCCACAUCGACGGGGAGGUUUGGCACCUCGAUGUCGGCUCAUCACAUCCUGGGGCUGUAGUAGGUCCCAAGGGUUGGGCGGUUCGCCCAUUAAAGUGGUACGCGAGCUGGGUUCAGAACGUCGUGAGACAGUUCGGUCCCUAUCCGUCGCAGGCGUAGGAAAUUUGAGAAGACCUGUCCUUAGUACGAGAGGACCGGGAUGGACGUACCUCUGGUGUACCAGUUGUCCUGCCAAGGGCAUGGCUGGGUAGCUAUGUACGGAAUGGAUAAGCGCUGAAAGCAUCUAAGCGCGAAG